This 1478-nucleotide ribosomal RNA is filed under the name uncultured bacterium. Its description in RNAcentral is "partial 16S ribosomal RNA". It matches the Rfam family "Bacterial small subunit ribosomal RNA". The record is from RNAcentral.
AACGAACGCUGGCGGCAGGCUUAACACAUGCAAGUCGAACGCCCCGCAAGGGGAGUGGCAGACGGGUGAGUAACGCGUGGGAAUCUACCCAACUCUACGGAAUAACUCAGGGAAACUUGUGCUAAUACCGUAUACGCCCUUCGGGGGAAAGAUUUAUCGGAGUUGGAUGAGCCCGCGUUGGAUUAGCUAGUUGGUGGGGUAAAGGCCUACCAAGGCGACGAUCCAUAGCUGGUCUGAGAGGAUGAUCAGCCACAUUGGGACUGAGACACGGCCCAAACUCCUACGGGAGGCAGCAGUGGGGAAUAUUGGACAAUGGGCGCAAGCCUGAUCCAGCCAUGCCGCGUGAGUGAUGAAGGCCCUAGGGUUGUAAAGCUCUUUCACCGGUGAAGAUAAUGACGGUAACCGGAGAAGAAGCCCCGGCUAACUUCGUGCCAGCAGCCGCGGUAAUACGAAGGGGGCUAGCGUUGUUCGGAAUUACUGGGCGUAAAGCGCACGUAGGCGGGUAUUUAAGUCAGGGGUGAAAUCCCGGAGCUCAACUCCGGAACUGCCUUUGAUACUGGGUACCUANAGUAUGGAAGAGGUAAGUGGAAUUCCGAGUGUANAGGUGAAAUUCGUANAUAUUCGCAGGAACACCAGUGGCGAANGCGGCUUACUGGUCCAUUACUGACGCUGAGGUGCGAAAGCGUGGGGAGCAAACAGGUUAANGNUGNGAAAAGNCGNGGGGCAGNCAAACCAGGAUUUNNAUGCCCCUGGGUAGUNCCCCCCCCGUAAACNAANAAGGGCUANCCGUCGGGGCAUUUUNACUGUUNNGGUGCCGCAGGNUAACGCAUUAAGCCCCUCCCGCCNUGGGGAGUACGGGUCGNCAAAAUUAAAANUCAAAGGAAUUGACGGGGGCCCGCACAAGCGGUGGAGCAUGUGGUUUAAUUUGAAGCAACGNGCAGAACCUUACCAGCCCUUGACAUGCCGGUCGCGGACANUGGAGACGAUGUCCUUCAGUUAGGCUGGACCGGACACAGGUGCUGCAUGGCUGUCGUCAGCUCGUGUCGUGAGAUGUUGGGUUAAGUCCCGCAACGAGCGCAACCCUCGCCCUUAGUUGCCAGCAUUAGGUUGGGCACUCUAAGGGGACUGCCGGUGAUAAGCCGAGAGGAAGGUGGGGAUGACGUCAAGUCCUCAUGGCCCUUACGGGCUGGGCUACACACGUGCUACAAUGGUGGUGACAGUGGGCAGCGAGACAGCGAUGUCGAGCUAAUCUCCAAAAGCCAUCUCAGUUCGGAUUGCACUCUGCAACUCGGGUGCAUGAAGUUGGAAUCGCUAGUAAUCGCGGAUCAGCAUGCCGCGGUGAAUACGUUCCCGGGCCUUGUACACACCGCCCGUCACACCAUGGGAGUUGGUUUUACCCGAAGGUAGUGCGCUAACCGCAAGGAGGCAGCUAACCACGGUAGGGUCAGCGACUGGGGUGAAGUCGUAACAAGGUAGCC